GACGAACGCUGGAGGCGUGCUUAACACAUGCAAGUCGAACGAUGAAAUGGAGCUUGCUCCAUGGAUUAGUGGCGAACGGGUGAGUAACACGUGAAUAACCUGCCCUUAAUUUUGGAAUAACCCAGGGAAACCUGGGCUAAUACCGGAUAAGUAAACCUGUGGCAUCACAUGGUUUUGGAAAGUUUUUCGAUUAAGGAUGGAUUCGCGGCCUAUCAGCUUGUUGGUGAGGUAAUGGCUCACCAAGGCGACGACGGGUAGCCGGCCUGAGAGGGGGAACGGCCACACUGGGAAUUAGACACGGCCCAGACUCCCACGGGAGGCAGCAGGGGGGAAUAUUGCGCAAUGGACGAAAGUCUGACGCAGCGACGCCUCGUGAGGGACGAAGGUCUUCGGAUUGUAAACCUCUUUCAGCAGGGACGAAGCGAAAGUGACGGUACCUGCAGAAGAAGCACCGGCUAACUAUGUGCCAGCAGCCGCGGUAA
RNAcentral lists this ribosomal RNA (482 nucleotides) under uncultured bacterium. Its description in RNAcentral is "partial 16S ribosomal RNA". It matches the Rfam family "Bacterial small subunit ribosomal RNA", at positions 28 to 523 of the family's 1533-position model. The record is from RNAcentral.